UUAAGAAUCUUGCACAAUGGGCGCAAGCCUGAUGCAGCGACGCCGCGUGGAUGAUGAAGGCCUUCGGGUUGUAAAGUCCGGUAAGCAGGGAAGAAUAAGCGCCGGGUAAUAUUCGGUGUGAUGACGGUACCUGCCUAAAGCCCCGGCUAACUACGUGCCAGCAGCCGCGGUAAUACGUAUGGGGCGAGCGUUGUUCGGACUUAUUGGGCGUAAAGGGCGUCUAGGCGGGGAUUUAAGUUAGGUGUGAAAGCUAUGGGCGCAACCCAUAAACUGCACCUAAAACUGAAGCUCUGGAGUGCGGGAGAGGAGAGCGGAAUGCCAGGUGUAGCGGUGAAAUGCGUAGAUAUCUGGAAGAACACCAGUGGCGAAGGCGGCUCUCUGGCCUAGGACUGACGCUGAAGCGCGAAAGCGUGGGGAGCGAACA
RNAcentral lists this ribosomal RNA (424 nucleotides) under uncultured prokaryote. RNAcentral describes it as "bacterial SSU rRNA". It matches the Rfam family "Bacterial small subunit ribosomal RNA", at positions 355 to 774 of the family's 1533-position model. The record is from RNAcentral.